RNAcentral lists this ribosomal RNA (596 nucleotides) under uncultured bacterium. Its description in RNAcentral is "bacterial SSU rRNA". It matches the Rfam family "Bacterial small subunit ribosomal RNA", at positions 112 to 704 of the family's 1533-position model. The record is from RNAcentral.
AAUGCCUAGGAAUCUGCCUGGUAGUGGGGGAUAACGUUCGGAAACGGACGCUAAUACCGCAUACGUCCUACGGGAGAAAGCAGGGGACCUUCGGGCCUUGCGCUAUCAGAUGAGCCUAGGUCGGAUUAGCUAGUUGGUGAGGUAAUGGCUCACCAAGGCGACGAUCCGUAACUGGUCUGAGAGGAUGAUCAGUCACACUGGAACUGAGACACGGUCCAGACUCCUACGGGAGGCAGCAGUGGGGAAUAUUGGACAAUGGGCGAAAGCCUGAUCCAGCCACGCCGCGUGUGUGAAGAAGGCCUUCGGAUUGUAAAGCACUUUAAGUUGGGAGGAAGGGUUGUAGAUUAAUACUCUGCAAUUUUGACGUUACCGACAGAAUAAGCACCGGCUAACUCUGUGCCAGCAGCCGCGGUAAUACAGAGGGUGCAAGCGUUAAUCGGAAUUACUGGGCGUAAAGCGCGCGUAGGUGGUUUGUUAAGUUGGAUGUGAAAUCCCCGGGCUCAACCUGGGAACUGCAUUCAAAACUGACUGACUAGAGUAUGGUAGAGGGUGGUGGAAUUUCCUGUGUAGCGGUGAAAUGCGUAGAUAUAGGAAGG